Molecule: ribosomal RNA, 253 nt
Filed under: uncultured bacterium
Lineage: Bacteria
Description: partial 16S ribosomal RNA
Rfam family: Bacterial small subunit ribosomal RNA
Source: RNAcentral
UACGGAGGAUGCGAGCGUUAUCCGGAUUUAUUGGGUUUAAAGGGAGCGUAGACGGCGGUGCAAGCCAGAUGUGAAAGCCCGGGGCUCAACCCCGGGACUGCAUUUGGAACUGUGCUGCUAGAGUGUCGGAGAGGCAGGCGGAAUUCCUAGUGUAGCGGUGAAAUGCGUAGAUAUUAGGAGGAACACCAGUGGCGAAGGCGGCCUGCUGGACGAUGACUGACGUUGAGGCUCGAAAGCGUGGGGAGCAAACAGG